Small nucleolar RNA from Cyprinus carpio carpio, 70 nucleotides. The record is from Ensembl. NCBI's taxonomy places the organism in Eukaryota, Metazoa, Chordata, Actinopteri, Cypriniformes, Cyprinidae.
UGCUUAUGAUGAGUAAAAUGAAUAAGAGUAGUGGACAGGAGUGAUUUCUGAGAACUUAUUUUCUGAGGCA